AACAGGCAUCCUAGUAGCGGCGAGCGAAGCGGGAAGAGCUCAAAUUUAUAAUCUGGCACCUUCGGUGUCCGAGUUGUAAUCUCUAGAAAUGUUUUCCGCGUUGGACCGCACACAAGUCUGUUGGAAUACAGCGGCAUAGUGGUGAGACCCCCGUAUAUGGUGCGGACGCCCAGCGCUUUGUGAUACAUUUUCGAAGAGUCGAGUUGUUUGGGAAUGCAGCUCAAAUUGGGUGGUAAAUUCCAUCUAAAGCUAAAUAUUGGCGAGAGACCGAUAGCGAACAAGUACCGUGAGGGAAAGAUGAAAAGCACUUUGGAAAGAGAGUUAACAGUACGUGAAAUUGUUGGAAGGGAAACGCUUGAAGUCAGACUUGCUUGCCGAGCAAUCGGUUUGCAGGCCAGCAUCAGUUUUCCGGGAUGGAUAAUGGUAGAGAGAAGGUAGCAGUUUCGGCUGUGUUAUAGCUCUCUGCUGGAUACAUCUUGGGGGACUGAGGAACGCAGUGUGCCUUUGGCGGGGGUUUCGACCUCUUCACACUUAGGAUGCUGGUGGAAUGGCUUUAAACGACCCGUCUUGAACC
RNAcentral lists this ribosomal RNA (574 nucleotides) under Rhodotorula mucilaginosa. RNAcentral describes it as "eukaryotic LSU rRNA". It matches the Rfam family "Eukaryotic large subunit ribosomal RNA", at positions 67 to 660 of the family's 3401-position model. Lineage: Eukaryota; Fungi; Basidiomycota; Microbotryomycetes; Sporidiobolales; Sporidiobolaceae. The record is from RNAcentral.